RNAcentral lists this non-coding RNA (73 nucleotides) under Schistosoma japonicum. Lineage: Eukaryota; Metazoa; Platyhelminthes; Trematoda; Strigeidida; Schistosomatidae. The record is from RNAcentral.
GACUAUCUGAACACAGUAGCCUAGUGGUGAACAGAGUGGUGUUUGACACGAGGCGGACUGAGUUCAAAUCCCA